UUAAUAUAAACUGCCCACUGAAAAUAAAUGGCCGCAGUAAAACUAACUGUGCAAAGGUAGCAUAAUAAAUAGUCUAGUAAUUUUAGAAUUGGAUGAAUGUUUAAACGUAAAGAUUACUAUCUUUUUGAAAAUUAAAAAAUUCUAUUUUUGUCCAAAAGCAAAGAUUUCUUGGGAAGACGAUAAGACCCUAGAAGUUCAAAUAUUAACUGGGAUGGUAUUUUUCUGAACCAUUUUUUAAACAAGAAACUUUAGAACCUUUCUUUUAAACUACUCUAGGGAUAACAGCAUAAAAAUUUUUAUUAGACCAAAUAUACAAAAUUUUUAUGACCUCGAUGUUGAAUUAAUUUUAUCUACUUUAAGUAUCUUUAAAAAAAGAAAGUCUGUUCGACUUUUAAAUAAUUA
This 402-nucleotide ribosomal RNA is filed under the name Apanthura sp. RW98.022.335. RNAcentral's name for it is "partial 16S ribosomal RNA". It matches the Rfam family "Bacterial large subunit ribosomal RNA", at positions 1895 to 2598 of the family's 2925-position model. The record is from RNAcentral. Lineage: Eukaryota; Metazoa; Arthropoda; Malacostraca; Isopoda; Anthuridae.